Non-coding RNA from Loxodonta africana (African savanna elephant), 105 nucleotides. The record is from Rfam. NCBI's taxonomy places the organism in Eukaryota, Metazoa, Chordata, Mammalia, Proboscidea, Elephantidae.
GUCUACAGCCAUACCACCCUGAGCGCAUCUGAUCUCCUUUGAUCUCAGAAGCUAAGCAGGGUGGGGCCUGGUUAGUACUUGGAUGGAGCUCUGGUGGCAUAGUGG